RNAcentral lists this ribosomal RNA (1944 nucleotides) under Triticum aestivum (bread wheat). Its description in RNAcentral is "partial small subunit ribosomal RNA". Lineage: Eukaryota; Viridiplantae; Streptophyta; Magnoliopsida; Poales; Poaceae. The record is from RNAcentral.
AUGGAGGUUCCGAAAGAUCGUAGAGUUCCUUUGGUCGCAUACAAACUGAAAGGAGGAGCCGGUGCAUGGUGGCAUCGCGUUCAAGAGGAGCGCAGGCUGAGAGGAGAACCUCGUGUUAGAACUUGGCGACAAAUGAAAGGCCUCUUGAAAGGGAGAUUUUUGCCCGCUGAUUAUGACCAGAUCCUAUUUAUCCAAUUUCAAAAUUGUGCUCAAGGAAAUUGGACUGUUUCAGAUUACACUGAGGAGUUUCUAAGGCUACAAGUGAGGUGCAACCUUGCUGAAACUGAAGAGCAACAAGUUGCAAGGUACGUCAAUGGUCUCAAUGAUGCUAUUCAAGAUCGAUUGAUGAUGCAACAAAUCUGGUCCGUUGAUCAAGCACAAGCUCUAGCCUUAAAGGCCGAGAGGUUUGUGAGGAUGAGAAAGACAACUAAGACUCCAUAUCCUCCAUAUCCUCAUACCGAAGGCUCAUCUAGGAGCCAACCUAAUAGAGUGGAAGAAAAUAUCACUCCACCAAAGACAAAACAGCCCAUCCCGAAGCAAACUAGAGGCAAGGGUAAGGCAAAUGAAGGUCCAAAGUGCUAUAAAUGUGGUAAAGAGGGACACAUAUCCAGCGGCUGCCCACUAAGGAAAUUUGUUAACACGACUAUCCAUGAUAGUGAAAGCGAUGAGGAAGAAUACGAAUCUGAAGAUGUAGACGGACAAGAGGUUUGUCAAGAAGAAGGUGAAGAGGUGGUAUGUGUGAUCCAGCGUGUCCUAUGUUCCACACCACAACUCGAUGACACACAACGGAAGAAAAUAUUUGAGAGCAAAUGCACGGUGAAUGGCAAGGUAUGCAAACUAGUGAUUGAUAGUUGCAGCUGCGAGAAUCUUAUCUCCCAGAAGUUGGUGGACCAUUUAAAGCUUGAAACCCAUGAUCAUCCAAAUCCCUACACUAUUGGAUGGAUCAAGAAAGGAGUGAAUAUGAGGAUCACCAAACAAUGCAACCUGCCACUUUCUUUGGGUAAGCAUUAUCGCUCAAAUGUGUUGUGUGAUGUGGUUGACAUGGAUGCCAGCCAUGUUCUUCUUGGGAGGCCUUGGCAAUUUGAUGUGGAUACUACACACAAGGGCAAGGAAAAUUCUUACUCUUUCAUUUGGAACAAGAGAAGGAUCAUUAUCUUACCAAACAAACCCGAAGAUAAUACCUCUAAGGAGGAGGGGAAAACUAUGUUAACUAUCUCCCAUACCUCUCAUGAGUUUAUGGAAGACUUGAAGGAGGCAGAUUUGUGUGCUGCACUUGUUGUAAAGGGAGAAGAGCACCUGACUGUUGAAAUUCCAGCAAAGGUACGUGGUUUAUUGGCAGAAUUUCAGAACAUACUUGGGGAGCCACAUGGCUUGCCACCGAUGAGAGGAAUUCAACAUAGAAUUGACUUAAUUCCGGGAGCAAGUCUUCCUAAUUUUCCACACUAUCGAAUGAGCCCAAAGGAGCAUGGUAUAUUGAAGGAGAAAGUGGAGGAAUUGUUGCAAAAGGGGCACAUUCGAGAAAGUAUUAGCCCAUGUGCUGUACCAGCCCUACUCGCGCCAAAGAAAGAUGGAUCUUGGCGCAUGUGUACGGACAGUAGAGCCGUUAACAAGAUCACCGUAAGGUAUAGAUUCCCUAUUCCCCGUCUGGAUGAUAUGUUGGAUCAGCUUAGUGGAGCAAGAGUGUUCACAAAGCUAGAUUUAAGAAGUGGAUAUCAUCAAAUCCGUAUAAGACCCGGGGAUGAAUGGAAGACCACCUUCAAGACAAAGGAAGGGUUGUUUGAAUGGCUAGUCAUGCCAUUUGGGCUCUCAAAUGCACCAAGUACAUUUAUGCACUUAAUGAAUCAAGUCCUUAGACCCUUCUUAUCCCACUUUGUUGUGGUCUAUUUCAAUGACAUCUUGAUCUAUAGCAAGGAUGAGGAUGAACACUCAUUCGGAAGGUGCUAG